AAUGGGGGAAACCCUGAUGCAGCGACGCCGCGUGAGCGAAGAAGUAUUUCGGUAUGUAAAGCUCUAUCAGCAGGGAAGAAAAUGACGGUACCUGACUAAGAAGCACCGGCUAAAUACGUGCCAGCAGCCGCGGUAAUACGUAUGGUGCAAGCGUUAUCCGGAUUUACUGGGUGUAAAGGGAGCGUAGACGGCUGUGUAAGUCUGAAGUGAAAGCCCGGGGCUCAACCCCGGGACUGCUUUGGAAACUAUGCAGCUAGAGUGUCGGAGAGGUAAGUGGAAUUCCCAGUGUAGCGGUGAAAUGCGUAGAUAUUGGGAGGAACACCAGUGGCGAAGGCGGCUUACUGGACGAUGACUGACGUUGAGGCUCGAAAGCGUGGGGAGCAAA
RNAcentral lists this ribosomal RNA (385 nucleotides) under uncultured bacterium. Its description in RNAcentral is "bacterial SSU rRNA". It matches the Rfam family "Bacterial small subunit ribosomal RNA", at positions 370 to 772 of the family's 1533-position model. The record is from RNAcentral.